RNAcentral lists this transfer RNA (69 nucleotides) under Rattus norvegicus (Norway rat). It matches the Rfam family "tRNA". From Rfam's summary of the family: Transfer RNA (tRNA) molecules are approximately 80 nucleotides in length. Their secondary structure includes four short double-helical elements and three loops (D, anti-codon, and T loops). Further hydrogen bonds mediate the characteristic L-shaped molecular structure. tRNAs have two regions of fundamental functional importance: the anti-codon, which is responsible for specific mRNA codon recognition, and the 3' end, to which the tRNAs corresponding amino acid is attached (by aminoacyl-tRNA synthetases). tRNAs cope with the degeneracy of the genetic code in two manners: having more than one tRNA (with a specific anti-codon) for a particular amino acid; and 'wobble' base-pairing, i.e. permitting non-standard base-pairing at the 3rd anti-codon position. Lineage: Eukaryota; Metazoa; Chordata; Mammalia; Rodentia; Muridae. The record is from Rfam by way of RNAcentral.
GGGGAUUUAGCUCAGUGGUAGAGUGCUUGCCUAACAAGCACAAGGCUCUGGGUUCGGUCCCCAGCUCUG